RNAcentral lists this small RNA (94 nucleotides) under [Haemophilus] ducreyi 35000HP. RNAcentral's name for it is "Haemophilus ducreyi 35000HP t44 RNA". It matches the Rfam family "t44 RNA". From Rfam's summary of the family: This family consists of a number of bacterial RNA genes of between 135 and 170 bases in length. The t44 gene is found between the map and rpsB genes in all species in the full alignment apart from Shigella flexneri. Lineage: Bacteria; Pseudomonadati; Pseudomonadota; Gammaproteobacteria; Pasteurellales; Pasteurellaceae. The record is from Rfam by way of RNAcentral.
UUAUUUUUAAGACUAAAACACACACAUAUCAUAAGCCGAAAAUCGGGUGCUUAUGUAAUUUAAGUUGAUUUAUCGGGAUAUGUGGAGGCUAAAC